UUCGGUCCUCGGUAGUGGCCACCGGGUGCGCAAUCCCCGAUGGCUUCGAUCGAAGACCGGC
Non-coding RNA from Acidipropionibacterium acidipropionici ATCC 4875, 61 nucleotides. The record is from Rfam. Lineage: Bacteria; Bacillati; Actinomycetota; Actinomycetes; Propionibacteriales; Propionibacteriaceae.